This 138-nucleotide ribosomal RNA is filed under the name uncultured eukaryote. Its description in RNAcentral is "partial 18S ribosomal RNA". It matches the Rfam family "Eukaryotic small subunit ribosomal RNA", at positions 1299 to 1458 of the family's 1831-position model. The record is from RNAcentral.
UGGUGGAGUGAUUUGUCUGCUUAAUUGCGAUAACGAACGAGACCUUAACCUGCUAAAUAGCUCGCGCCGCCCCGGCGGCGCGCCGGCUUCUUAGAGGGACUAUCGGCUCCAAGCCGAUGGAAGUUUGAGGCAAUAACA